This is a non-coding RNA of Bombyx mori (domestic silkworm), 84 nucleotides long. The record is from Rfam. NCBI's taxonomy places the organism in Eukaryota, Metazoa, Arthropoda, Insecta, Lepidoptera, Bombycidae.
UUAACUCAAAUUUGUAUGGAGUUGGAACGUUUACCUAAGUUAGCCGCUAGGAGUGCUGUUACAACUCCGUACAAAAUUGAGUUA